This 230-nucleotide ribosomal RNA is filed under the name uncultured microorganism. RNAcentral describes it as "partial 16S ribosomal RNA". It matches the Rfam family "Bacterial small subunit ribosomal RNA", at positions 524 to 753 of the family's 1533-position model. The record is from RNAcentral.
UACGUAGGGAGCAAGCGUUGUCCGGAAUUACUGGGCGUAAAGGGUGCGUAGGCGGCCAUGCAAGUCAGAUGUGAAAGACCGGGGCUCAACCCCGGGAUUGCAUUUGAAACUGCGUGGCUUGAGUGCAGGAGAGGCAAGUGGAAUUCCUAGUGUAGCGGUGAAAUGCGUAGAUAUUAGGAGGAACACCAGUGGCGAAGGCGACUUGCUGGACUGUAACUGACGCUGAGGCA